RNAcentral lists this long non-coding RNA (661 nucleotides) under Sorghum bicolor (sorghum). Its description in RNAcentral is "long non-coding RNA (SBIC_LNC001191)". Lineage: Eukaryota; Viridiplantae; Streptophyta; Magnoliopsida; Poales; Poaceae. The record is from RNAcentral.
GUGGAUGAUGAUGUGGCGCAAGCAGUGGCGGAUAUAAGCCUAGGGCCAAUAUGGCCAUGGCCCUAGGCGUGGGGAAAAAUACUAGAGUAUUUUUUUUUGUUUUUUUCAGCUAAAUCUACAUAUUAGCAUUACUUUUAUUCAUUAGCAUGUGAUCGAUGUUGGUAGUUCAUAGUAUUGGCCCUAGUCGUGAAAAUUCCUUAGCUCCGCCACUGGGCGCAAGGAGGUGCAAGAGAAUUAGCUUAGUGGGGUUUGUCUUUAUAGGAUAGAAUUAGCUUAAUGGGGUUUGUCUUUAUAGGAUAUAUAGAUAACCGAUCACAUCUUUCAACAGUAGUGAUUGACAUAGUCACACGUUUUUGUGUCAAUCGCUAGGUCACGAGGGCUAUCGGUGUUGCAGCAACCGGCACAAACCACGUACAAAGGCAUCGCUUACAAAUAAUUGUGGAUGGUUGGAUCAAGUUGAAGCUUGUGGGAAGAGUUAAGAGCCAUUGAUUUUUAUGUAUUCUUAGGUACAUGAUCUUUGGUGCAUAAUGUCUGUGAGUUAUCUUAGUCAAAGGAUAUAAAUGUGAACAUGUAUUUAGACAUAUCGGAUAGAAAAAUAACUAAUUUUUAUUCUACAUGUCUAAUUCACUCUACUCCCUCCGUCCCCACAAAUAAUUGCAUU